CUUUCAUUUUUUGAAAUCCAGGAUUUCUCAUAGAGAUGGCCAAAUGUUUGUUAUUAACUUGUCUUUGUUUUCACCACCAGUGGGCGAAGACGUAAUGACCAGACAAUCACCAUUUUGAAGGACACUGAUGUAGUCAUGGGGGCUUCCUCUGAUCCCGCACCAUUAAGGAAUGAGCCAAAACACAUCACCAGUGAAAUAACAAACUACUACACCAAUGAUCACCUAUAUGGCAACAUGGAGGUUGAAGAUGACAGCCUAUACAUGUGUGUUGGUGGAGACCAUGCAAUCUACGAAAACAUAUGAGCACAACAGAAAGCAUGGCAACUAAGAGGAAAUUGUACUCAGUCUGUCAAAAGUUUUAGCAAAAUAUAAAAAUGUUAACCCAAAGUAGCUGUAUGUACUGUAUGCAAUUACAUGGUGGCCUGACUGUUGUGACUCGUUUUGAACACAUUAAGGGAGCGCUUUGACACUGGUCUUGGACAGUGGUUAGUGCAAUGUUUACGUUGGAAAUCACAAGUUAGCUCAGUUUUCUCAA
Molecule: long non-coding RNA, 535 nt
Organism: Esox lucius (northern pike)
Lineage: Eukaryota; Metazoa; Chordata; Actinopteri; Esociformes; Esocidae
Source: Ensembl